Molecule: ribosomal RNA, 193 nt
Filed under: Vibrio parahaemolyticus
Lineage: Bacteria; Pseudomonadati; Pseudomonadota; Gammaproteobacteria; Vibrionales; Vibrionaceae
Description: partial 16S ribosomal RNA
Rfam family: Bacterial small subunit ribosomal RNA
Source: RNAcentral
AAAUUGAAGAGUUUGAUCAUGGCUCAGAUUGAACGCUGGCGGCAGGCCUAACACAUGCAAGUCGAGCGGAAACGAGUUAACUGAACCUUCGGGGGACGAUAACGGCGUCGAGCGGCGGACGGGUGAGUAAUGCCUAGGAAAUUGCCCUGAUGUGGGGGAUAACCAUUGGAAACGAUGGCUAAUACCGCAUGAU